UGUUGAAACACCAGUUCCUAUACGAUCACCAAAGUUAAGCAAUGUUGAACCUGGUCAGUACCUGGAUAGGUGACUGUUUGGGAAUAUCAGGUACUGUAAG
Non-coding RNA from Acanthosepion pharaonis, 100 nucleotides. Lineage: Eukaryota; Metazoa; Mollusca; Cephalopoda; Sepiida; Sepiidae. The record is from the annotation of a GenBank genome assembly.